GACGAACGCUGGCGGCGUGCUUAACACAUGCAAGUCGAACGGAAAGGCCCUGCUUUUGUGGGGUGCUCGAGUGGCGAACGGGUGAGUAACACGUGAGUAACCUGCCCUUGACUUUGGGAUAACUUCAGGAAACUGGGGCUAAUACCGGAUAGGAGCUCCUGCUGCAUGGUGGGGGUUGGAAAGUUUCGGCGGUUGGGGAUGGACUCGCGGCUUAUCAGCUUGUUGGUGGGGUAGUGGCUUACCAAGGCUUUGACGGGUAGCCGGCCUGAGAGGGUGACUGGCCACAUUGGGACUGAGAUACGGCCCAGACUCCUACGGGAGGCAGCAGUGGGGAAUAUUGCACAAUGGGCGGAAGCCUGAUGCAGCAACGCCGCGUGCGGGAUGACGGCCUUCGGGUUGUAAACCGCUUUCGCCUGUGACGAAGCGUGAGUGACGGUAAUGGGUAAAGAAGCACCGGCUAACUACGUGCCAGCAGCCGCGGUGAUACGUAGGGUGCGAGCGUUGUCCGGAUUUAUUGGGCGUAAAGGGCUCGUAGGUGGUUGAUCGCGUCGGAAGUGUAAUCUUGGGGCUUAACCCUGAGCGUGCUUUCGAUACGGGUUGACUUGAGGAAGGUAGGGGAGAAUGGAAUUCCUGGUGGAGCGGUGGAAUGCGCAGAUAUCAGGAGGAACACCAGUGGCGAAGGCGGUUCUCUGGGCCUUUCCUGACGCUGAGGAGCGAAAGCGUGGGGAGCGAACAGGCUUAGAUACCCUGGUAGUCCACGCUGUAAACGGUGGGUACUAGGUGUGGGGUCCAUUCCACGGGUUCCGUGCCGUAGCUAACGCUUUAAGUACCCCGCCUGGGGAGUACGGCCGCAAGGCUAAAACUCAAAGGAAUUGACGGGGCCCCGCACAAGCGGCGGAGCAUGCGGAUUAAUUCGAUGCAACGCGUAGAACCUUACCUGGGUUUGACAUGGAUCGGGAGUGCUCAGAGAUGGGUGUGCCUCUUUUGGGGUCGGUUCACAGGUGGUGCAUGGCUGUCGUCAGCUCGUGUCGUGAGAUGUUGGGUUAAGUCCCGCAACGAGCGCAACCCUUGUUCACUGUUGCCAGCACGUUAUGGUGGGGACUCAGUGGAGACCGCCGGGGUCAACUCGGAGGAAGGUGGGGAUGACGUCAAGUCGUCAUGCCCCUUAUGUCCAGGGCUUCACGCAUGCUACAAUGGCUGGUACAGAGAGUGGCGAGCCUGUGAGGGUGAGCGAAUCUCGGAAAGCCGGUCUCAGUUCGGAUUGGGGUCUGCAACUCGACCUCAUGAAGUCGGAGUCGCUAGUAAUCGCAGAUCAGCAACGCUGCGGUGAAUACGUUCCCGGGGCU
This 1346-nucleotide ribosomal RNA is filed under the name uncultured bacterium. RNAcentral's name for it is "partial 16S ribosomal RNA". It matches the Rfam family "Bacterial small subunit ribosomal RNA", at positions 28 to 1381 of the family's 1533-position model. The record is from RNAcentral.